RNAcentral lists this ribosomal RNA (466 nucleotides) under uncultured bacterium. RNAcentral describes it as "partial 16S ribosomal RNA". It matches the Rfam family "Bacterial small subunit ribosomal RNA", at positions 28 to 505 of the family's 1533-position model. The record is from RNAcentral.
GACGAACGCUGGCGGCGUGCUUAACACAUGCAAGUCGAACGGAAAGGCCCUGCUUUUGUGGGGUGCUCGAGUGGCGAACGGGUGAGUAACACGUGAGUAACCUGCCCUUGACUUUGGGAUAACUUCAGGAAACUGGGGCUAAUACCGGAUAGGAGCUCCUGCUGCAUGGUGGGGGUUGGAAAGUUUCGGCGGUUGGGGAUGGACUCGCGGCUUAUCAGCUUGUUGGUGGGGUAGUGGCUUACCAAGGCUUUGACGGGUAGCCGGCCUGAGAGGGUGACCGGCCACAUGGGGACUGAGAUACGGCCCAGACUCCUACGGGAGGCAGCAGUGGGGAAUAUUGCACAAUGGGCGGAAGCCUGAUGAAGCAACGCCGCGUGCGGGAUGACGGCCUUCGGGUUGUAAACCGCUUUCGCCUGUGACGAAGCGUGAGUGACGGUAAUGGGUAAAGAAGCACCGGCUAACUACG